Bos grunniens (domestic yak) is the source of this 66-nucleotide microRNA precursor. The record is from Ensembl. NCBI's taxonomy places the organism in Eukaryota, Metazoa, Chordata, Mammalia, Artiodactyla, Bovidae.
GUGAACAAACACUGAAUAUACUCAAUCAUGAGAGAAGUGGGGAAGGUUGUUUGGUUUUGUGUUCAU